UUCCCAAAAACAAAAUCUAGAUCUAGAGAGAACUCUCUUCUCUUUACUCAUUGAAGCUCUUCAAUCUAAAACUCUUUUGAAUCAACCAUUUAUCUCAUCUCAAAUUCAUAAAUAUGUCAUCACAAGGUCGUAAUAUGAAUGCAAACAUGGAUCCUCCUAUACGUAGACGGAACAAACAUUUGGAGUAUGGAAGAAGAAGUGGAUGAUUCUUAGGGAUGAUCCUAGAUAUGGUUUGGAAAUGCAAAAGAGAGUAAUUAUCGUCAUGAUGGGACUCCACAACUUUAUUAGAGUUUCGAAUUUUUCGGAUACAGAUUUCUUUGAAGAUUCUUCAAAAGUGUAUACAAAAAACGAGCAAAAUUAUUCAAAUGAACAAGAUGAGGUCGAGAGAGAAGAUAGACCAUAUAUGGCAAACAUACGAGACAAUAUUGCUGAUAUGUU
This is a long non-coding RNA of Camelina sativa (false flax), 438 nucleotides long. RefSeq lists it as uncharacterized. NCBI's taxonomy places the organism in Eukaryota, Viridiplantae, Streptophyta, Magnoliopsida, Brassicales, Brassicaceae. The record is from RefSeq and is a predicted model, not a curated record.